Molecule: ribosomal RNA, 219 nt
Filed under: Desulfovibrio piger
Lineage: Bacteria; Pseudomonadati; Thermodesulfobacteriota; Desulfovibrionia; Desulfovibrionales; Desulfovibrionaceae
Description: partial 16S ribosomal RNA
Rfam family: Bacterial small subunit ribosomal RNA
Source: RNAcentral
UCCCGAGUAAAGUGGCGCACGGGUGAGUAACACGUGGAUAAUCUGCCUCUAUGAUGGGGAUAACAGUUGGAAACGACUGCUAAUACCGAAUACGCUCAUAAUGAACUUUAUGAGGAAAGGUGGCCUCUGCUUGCAAGCUAUCGCAUAGAGAUGAGUCCGCGUCCCAUUAGCUAGUUGGUGGGGUAACGGCCUACCAAGGCAACGAUGGGUAGCCGAUCU